UUGCUGCAGCAAGCCUCCAGCUCGUGGUCUCUCAGAGACAGUUGCUGUAGGAGAGAGUCUGUGCGUGUGUUUCUCAUUUCUGUGUGUUUCUCAUUUCUCAUUCCCCUCAGCCAGGAGAACCACAAAGAUAUUGUCAUCUGUGUAGAAGCCAGUUUCGAUAUCUGGUGUCUACCCCUUGCCCUGCUGGCAGGGCAUUGAGCGGCACCCGUUGCCGGCCACCUGGGUGUGGAGAUUGAAGAGGGUGAAGAGAGGAGCAACCCUGAGCAUCUGCCAUCCUGCUCCAUCUGAUCUAGAAUAAGAUGGAGCGAAUCAGGCAGAUGCUCAGGAGGAAGGCCGGGCAGGUGGCUCCACAGCCAGAAGACGACAUCAGGCAGCCUGCCCAGGCGGAGAGCGGCCCCUCUGUCCCCGCGGGCGGGGAAGAGGCUCGUGGCCAGGGGAAAGGGAGGAGCUGCUUCUCCUGCUGGAGGAGGCG
Molecule: long non-coding RNA, 472 nt
Organism: Mauremys reevesii (Reeves's turtle)
Lineage: Eukaryota; Metazoa; Chordata; Testudines; Geoemydidae
Exons: 3
Source: RefSeq, a predicted model, not a curated record